GAUGAAGAACGUAGCGAAAUGCGAUAAGUAAUGUGAAUUGCAGAAUUCAGUGAAUCAUCGAAUCUUUGAACGCACAUUGCGCCCGCCAGCAUUCUGGCGGGCAUGCCUGUUCGAGCGUCAUUUCAACCCUCGAGCCCCCCCGGGGGCCUCGGUGUUGGGGGACGGCACACCAGCCGCCCCCGAAAUGCAGUGGCGACCCCGCCGCAGCCUCCCCUGCGUAGUAGCACACACCUCGCACCGGAGCGCGGAGGCGGUCACGCCGUAAAACGCCCAACUUUCUUAGAGUCGACCUCGGAUCAGGUAGGAAUACCCGCUGAACUUAAGCAUAUCAAUAAGCGGAGGA
Molecule: unclassified non-coding RNA, 343 nt
Filed under: soil metagenome
Description: partial contains 5.8S ribosomal RNA, internal transcribed spacer 2, and large subunit ribosomal RNA
Rfam family: 5.8S ribosomal RNA (bases 1-120)
Source: RNAcentral